UGAACUGUGGAUAGGAGCGAAAGACCAAUCAAACUCAGUGAUAGCUGGUUCUCUUCGAAAUAUCUUGAGGGAUAGCCUUACGCCAUUGACUUGCGGGGGUAGAGCACUGAUUGUCCGCGGGACCUUACCGGGUUACCAACGACUGUCAAACUUCGAAUACCGUUAAGUUUUACCGUAGGAGUCAGACUGUGGGGGAUAAGCUUCAUAGUCGAGAGGGAAACAACCCAGAUCGCCGUCUAAGGUCCCCAAUUUAAGCUAAGUGGUUUGAAGGAUGUGAAGUUGCGUAAACAACCAGGAUGUUGGCUUAGAGGCAGCCAUCAUUUAAAGAUCGCGUAAUAGCGCACUGGUCGAGUGAUUUUGCGCCGAAGAUGAUCGGGACUAAGCUUAAAACCGAAGACGCGGAUGUGCAGCAAUGCACGUGGUAGAAGAGCGUUGUAUGAGGAGCGAAGCGAAAAUGAAAAUGAUCGUGGACUUCAUACAAGUGACCAUGCAAGCAUGAGUAGCGAAAAACCGGAUGGAAAUUCCGGUCACCGUAAGACCAAGGAUUCCCGGGGAAGGUUCGUCCGCCCGGGGUUAGCCGGAUCCUAAGGCCAGGCCGAAAGGCGUAGUCGAUGGACAACGGGUUAAUAUUCCCGUGCCGCCUUAACGGAGUGACGGAGUGACGCAGUAUGCUAAGCGAGCUGGCUAUACGCCAGUCUAAUGUCGUAGGACGUCAGGGGUUAAAUGACCUGACACCAAGUCUGAAAACGGAUGGGACUCGAAGCCUUCGGGUAACGGGGAUUCGCUGAUGCUUCGCUGACGAGAAAAGCUCCUAAACGUUGAAGUUUUGGCGUCCGUACCGCAAACCGACACAGGUGGUCGAGGCGAGUAGCCUCAGGUGCGCGAGUGAAACCACUUCAAGGAACUCGGCAAACCAGCCCCGUAACUUAGGGAGAAGGGGUGCCGAACGGGUGUUAAAGCCCGAACGGUUUCAACAAAGAGGCCGCGGCGACUGUUUAACAAAAACAUAGCUCUCUGCAAACUCGCAAGAGGAAGUAUAGGGAGUGACACGUGACCAAUGCCGAAAGGUCAAUCGGAUCCGUCAGCAGCAAUGCGAAGCGGUGAUGUGAAGCCCCGGUGAAUGUCGGCCGUAACUAUAACGGUCCUAAGGUAGCGAAAUUCCUUGUCGGGUAAGUUCCGACCUGCACGAAUCGUGUAACGAUCGCGGCACUGUCUCGAAGUGGAGCUCGGCGAAGUUGUAAUUCCGGUGAAAAUGCCGGAUACCUGCAGUAGGACGGAAAGACCCUGUGAACCUUUACUGUAAUCUGAUAUUGGCAUUCGGGUGUUAAUGUGUAGGAUAGGUGGGAGGCCGCGAAGCAGGAGCGCCAGCUCCUGUGGAGCCGUCGGUGAAAUACCACCCUUUAUAACUUGAAUGUCUAACCUCAGCCCGUGAAUCCGGGCGGGAAACAGUGUCAGAGGGUCAGUUUGACUGGGGCGGUUUCCUCCAAAAUUGUAACGGAGGAGCACGAAGGUACACUCAGAGCGGUUGGCAAUCGUUCGAAGAGCGUAAGGGUAUAAGUGUGCUUAACUGCGAGACAGACACGUCGAGCAGAUGCGAAAGCAGGUCCUAGUGAUCCAGCGAUAGAACGUGGAAUCGUCGUUGCUCAACGGACAAAAGGUACUCCGGGGAUAACAGGCUGAUAGCGUCCAAGCGUCCAUAGCGACGACGCUGUUUGGCACCUCGAUGUCGGCUCAUCUCAUC
Molecule: ribosomal RNA, 1741 nt
Filed under: human gut metagenome
Description: bacterial LSU rRNA
Rfam family: Bacterial large subunit ribosomal RNA
Source: RNAcentral